UACGGAGGGUGCAAGCAUUGAUCGGAAUUACUGGGCGUAAAGGGCGCGUAGGCGGCAAGGCAAGUCAGAUGUGAAAUUCCGGGGCUCAACCCCGGAGCUGCAUUUGAAACUGCCUAGCUAGAGGAUAGUUAGGGAAAACGGAAUUCCACGUGUAGCGGUGAAAUGCGUAGAUAUGUGGAAGAACACCAGUGGUGAAGACGGUUUUCUGGGCUAAACCUGACGCUGAGGCGCGAAAGCAUGGGGAGCAAACAGG
RNAcentral lists this ribosomal RNA (253 nucleotides) under uncultured bacterium. RNAcentral's name for it is "partial 16S ribosomal RNA". It matches the Rfam family "Bacterial small subunit ribosomal RNA", at positions 524 to 776 of the family's 1533-position model. The record is from RNAcentral.